GGACACGAUCGGUUUCGUCAGCCACCUCCAUAUCUACGUACACAGCAGAAAAAGAAGUUAAACAGAUCAUAUUAUAUAUAUAUAUAGAGAGAGAGAGAGAAGACAAAGCUUCUUCACCUGCGGAGAUGAUAAGAACGAGAGCAACGAGGAGGAGAGCUGAAGGGAUCGGCUUGGCGGAUUUAGUUACAGCCAUUACUGAGAUCGCCUUUGCUGGUGGCUUCAACUCAUCCCAUCUUAGCUCGUCUUUUAUAGACCGGUCGAUAAAAGUAGGGUAAAGGGAGCGAAUCUUUUUUCUAAUUUAUUAUUGCCAGUAUAUAAAACGGGUUAUUCGCUAAAAAAAUUUAAUAAUAAAAUUUUAUCUAUUCUCAUAUUUAGUUUUUAUCAAAAGAAAUUCUUUUUUUUUUCAUUCUAGACUAAAA
RNAcentral lists this long non-coding RNA (419 nucleotides) under Musa acuminata (dwarf banana). Its description in RNAcentral is "long non-coding RNA (MACU_LNC011603)". Lineage: Eukaryota; Viridiplantae; Streptophyta; Magnoliopsida; Zingiberales; Musaceae. The record is from RNAcentral.